AGUGUACGCUUGCGCAGCUCCAAGGGGAGGGGGCCGCUAGAGGUGAACUCCAAGGAGUUAUCCAGGUCCGGUCUGCGGGUGCUCGCCUUAAUACUGCUCUCUGAGCGUCAGCUACUUGUAUUCGGGGCUUAACACCACAUGGAAGCUGCUGGUUUACAGCUUGUGCCCUCUGAAGCAGUGUCCUGGACCCCUUUGAGCCAAGGCUGGAGCCAGAGCAGCCAGGAUAUGAAGAGCAGUGUCCUGAGGCUGUGUAGUAUAGCACAGCCCAGGGCUUGGCCCUGAAACCAUUAUUUCCUGGUAGACCUCUGGGCUGUCCCAAAGACUUCUGAAAUGCCUCCUAGUCUUUUUUUUCCCUCAUUGUCUUGGAUAUUAGCACUUGGCUCCCUUUUAGUAAUGCUAAUCUCUCUAGCAAGUGAUUGCUCUACAGUCUGCUUGGAUUCUUUCUUUACCACAGGGCUAAGAUGCACAUUUUCUGAACUUAUGCUCUACUUUCCUUUUAAAUAUAAGUACCAACUUCGUCAUUUAUUUGCUCCUAUAUCUGAUAAUAUGCUGUUAUAAGCAACCAGGCUACAUCUUGAAUGCUUUCCUGCUUAGAAAUUUCUUGUACCAGGGCUGCAUUGCAGCCGCCACGGCGUCGCUUGGCUCCUCACUCCCAACAAUGGCAGCUCCGAGACUGAGCGGCGGCUGCGGCUCCGGGGGCAGCAGCGGCAGCCUCACCCCGGGACCUGUAGGAUCCCUGAAGCCAGGCCACCCAGCCAUCAGCAGCAUGCAGGGUAAACGCAAAGCACUGAAGUUGAAUUUUGCAAAUCCACCUUUCAAAUCUACAGCAAGGUUUACUCUGAAUCCCAAUCCUACAGGAGUUCAAAACCCACACAUAGAGAGACUGAGAUCACACAGCAUUGAGUCAUCAGGAAAACUGAAGAUCUCCCCUGAACAACACUGGGAUUUCACUGCAGAGGACUUGAAAGACCUUGGAGAAAUUGGAUGAGGAGUUUAUGGUUCUGCCAACAAAAUGGUCCACAAACCAAGUGGGCAAAUAAUGGCAGUUAAAAGAAUUCGGUCAACAGUGAAUGAAAAAGAACAAAAACAACCUCUUACGGAUUUGGAUGAAGUAAUGCAGAGUAGUGAUUGCCCUUACAUUGUUCAGUUUUAUGAUGCACUCUACAGACAGGGUGACUGUUGGACCUGUAUGGAACUCAUGUCUAUCUCGUUUGAUAAGUUUUACAAAUAUGUGUAUAGUGUAUUAGAUGAUGUUAUUCCAGAAGAAAUUUUAGGCAGAAUCACUUUAGCAUCUGUGAAAGCAUUAAAUCACUUAAAAGAAAACUUGAAAAUUAUUCACAGAGAUAUCAAACCUUCCAAUAUUCUUCUGGACAGAAGUGAAAAUAUUAAACUCUGUGACUUUGGCAUCAGUGGGCAGCUUGUGGACUCUAUUGCCAAGACAGAAGAUGCUGGCUGUAGGCCAUACAUGGCACCUGAAAGAAUAGACCCAAGUGCAUCAUGACAAGCAUAUGAUGUCUGCUCUGAUGUCUGGAGUUUGGGGAUCACAUUGUGUGAGUUGGCCACGGGCUGAUUUCCUUAUCCAAAGUGGAAUAGUGUAUUUGAUCAACUAACACAAGUCGUGAAAGGAGAUCCUCCGCAGCUGAGUAAUUCUGAGGAAAACGAAUUCUCCCCAAGUUUCAUCAACUUUGUCAACUUGUGCCUUACGAAGGAUGAAUCCAAAAGACCACAGCAUAAAGAGCUUCUGAAACAUCUUUUUAUUUUGAUUUAUGAAGAACGUACCAUUGAAGUCGCAUGCUAUGUUUUGUCAAAUCCUGGAUCAAAUGCCAGCUACUCCCAGCUUUCCCAUGUAUGUUGUUUGAUAUCGCUGCUACAUCAGACUAAAAAAAAGGGCUGAGAGGAAGCAAAAGGUAAAGAAUUUUCAUCCCUAUCACAGUGUUUUUAUUGCUCACCCAGACACCAUGUGCAAUGACAUUGGUGUUCAUUUCCAUCAUGUCUACAUAUUCCUGUCACCUAGAACGUGCAUCCUGGUAAUACCUGAUUGAUCACACAGUGUUAGUGCUGGUCAGAGAGACCUCAUCCUGCUCUUUUGUGAUGAACAUAUUCAUGAAAUGUAGAAGUCAGUAUGAUCAAGUUGUUGACUGUGAUUAGAUCACAUCUUAUAUUCAUUUAUAGACUCCAAACCUGGAGAUGCAGCUACUGGAAUGGUGUUUUAUCAGACUUCCAAAUCCUGGAAGGACACGGUGAUGGAUGUACUAUGUCUGAACAUAGAGACUCAGGCUUGAGUGAGAAGAGCUUGCACAGCCAACGAGACACAUUGCCUUCUGGAGCUAGGAGACAAAGGAGGAAUUUACUUUCUUCACCAAGUGCAAUAGAUUUACUGAUGUGAUAUUCUGUUGCUUUACAGUUACAGUUGAUGUUUGGGGAUUGAUGUGCUCAGCCAAAUUUCCUGUUUGACAUAUCAUGUUAAAUUAGAAUGAAUUUAUCUUUACCAAAAACCAUGUUGCGUUCAAAGAGGUGAACAUUAAAAUAUUGAGACAGG
Molecule: long non-coding RNA, 2539 nt
Organism: Homo sapiens (human)
Lineage: Eukaryota; Metazoa; Chordata; Mammalia; Primates; Hominidae
Gene: MAP2K4P1
Product: mitogen-activated protein kinase kinase 4 pseudogene 1
Source: Ensembl